This is a long non-coding RNA of Pistacia vera, 641 nucleotides long. RefSeq lists it as uncharacterized. The record is from RefSeq and is a predicted model, not a curated record. NCBI's taxonomy places the organism in Eukaryota, Viridiplantae, Streptophyta, Magnoliopsida, Sapindales, Anacardiaceae. The transcript has 3 exons.
ACAUCUUCUAUUGUCUUUCCCAAAUUGAAAAAUCUUGAGUUUUUAUGGAUGGAUGGAUGGAAAGAGUGGAAUGAUAUUAUUUUGAAAGGAGAUGAAUUAGUUAUUACAAUCAUGCCAUGUCUUCGUAACUUGAGCAUUACUUUAAGCCCCCUUAAAAAGCUGCCCAAUUACAUUCUUCAAUUGCCAACACUAAAACAAUUGGAGAUCGCCGGUUGCAGUACUCUAAGUCAGCGUUACAAGAAGGAGACAGGUGAAGAUUGGCACAAGAUCUCUCACAUUCCUGACGUUACCAUCUGGUAAUGAUUGACCCAUAGUACAAAUCCGAUGUCCUGUUGUGCACGUUUUUAUUAAAGACGCUACCCAAUUACAUUCUUCAAUCGCAACAUGAAAACAAUUGGCGAUUUGAGUACUGCUAUAUUCUAAGUUCGUGUUGCAAGGAGACAAGUGACGAUUGGUCCAAGAUCUCCCGCAUUCCUAAUGUCACCUUUACAUUAAGAUGAUCCACCCACCGAAUUAUGCAUAGAAGGUGUUUGAAAGAUGAAAUGGCUGAACCAAGGCUUGUGUUUCAAGGAACCGUAUCGAUACUGCUAUCAAAUGUUUUUUGAUCAACAGAUAAAAUUUGAGCUCACUAUUUUUUCUCA